CAGUAGCCACGGGAAUACAGAGGGUGCAAGCGUUAAUCGGAGUUACUGGGCGUAAAGGGCGCGUAGGCGGCUUGACAAGUCUUGUGUGAAAUCUAUGGGCUCAACCCAUAGUCUGCACGGGAAACUGUCGGGCUUGAGAAUGGGAGAGGUGAGUGGAAUUUCCGGUGUAGCGGUGAAAUGCGUAGAUAUCGGAAGGAACACCUGUGGCGAAAGCGGCUCACUGGACCAUUUCUGACGCUGAUGCACGAAAGCUAGGGGAGCAAACAGGAUUAGAUACCCGUGUAGUCCCUGUCUCUUAUAC
RNAcentral lists this ribosomal RNA (301 nucleotides) under uncultured bacterium. RNAcentral's name for it is "partial 16S ribosomal RNA". It matches the Rfam family "Bacterial small subunit ribosomal RNA", at positions 509 to 807 of the family's 1533-position model. The record is from RNAcentral.